Molecule: ribosomal RNA, 229 nt
Filed under: uncultured bacterium
Lineage: Bacteria
Description: partial 16S ribosomal RNA
Rfam family: Bacterial small subunit ribosomal RNA
Source: RNAcentral
GAUCAUGGCUCAGGAUAAACGCUGGCGGCGCACAUAAGACAUGCAAGUCGAACGGACUUAACCGUUAGUUUACUAAUGGAGCGGUUAGUGGCGGACUGGUGAGUAACACGUAAGCAACCUGCCUAUCAGAGGGGAACAACAGUUAGAAAUGACUGCUAAUACCGCAUAUGCCUUAGCAACACAUGUUGCAAAAGGGAAAGGAGCAAUCCACUGAUAGAUGGGCUUGCGU